CCUACGGGGGGCUGCAGUGGGGAAUAUUGGACAAUGGGCGAAAGCCUGAUCCAGCCAUGCCGCGUGUGUGAAGAAGGCCUUCGGGUUGUAAAGCACUUUCAGUGGGGAAGAAAGCCUUGGGGCUAAUACCCUCGAGGAAGGACAUCACCCACAGAAGAAGCACCGGCUAACUCCGUGCCAGCAGCCGCGGUAAUACGGAGGGUGCGAGCGUUAAUCGGAAUUACUGGGCGGAAAGCGCGCGUAGGCGGUCUGAUAAGCCGGUUGUGAAAGCCCCGGGCUCAACCUGGGAACGGCAUCCGGAACUGUCAGGCUAGAGUGCAGGAGAGGAAGGUAGAAUUCCCGGUGUAGCGGUGAAAUGCGUAGAGAUCGGGAGGAAUACCAGUGGCGAAGGCGGCCUUCUGGACUGACACUGACGCUGAGGUGCGAAAGCGUGGGUAGCAAACAGGAUUAGAUACCCUAGUAGUC
RNAcentral lists this ribosomal RNA (465 nucleotides) under Vreelandella stevensii. RNAcentral describes it as "partial 16S ribosomal RNA". It matches the Rfam family "Bacterial small subunit ribosomal RNA", at positions 338 to 795 of the family's 1533-position model. Lineage: Bacteria; Pseudomonadati; Pseudomonadota; Gammaproteobacteria; Oceanospirillales; Halomonadaceae. The record is from RNAcentral.